AGGUAACGGCUCACCAAGGCGACGACGGGUAGCCGGCCUGAGAGGCGACCGGCCACACUGGGACUGAGACACGGCCCAGACUCCUACGGGAGGCAGCAGUGGGGAAUAUUGCACAAUGGGCGCAAGCCUGAUGCAGCGACGCCGCGUGAGGGAUGACGGCCUUCGGGUUGUAAACCUCUUUCAGCAGGGAAGAAGCGCAAGUGACGGUACCUGCAGAAGAAGCGCCGGCUAACUACGUGCCAGCAGCCGCGGUAAUACGUAGGGCGCGAGCGUUGUCCGGAAUUAUUGGGCGUAAAGAGCUCGUAGGCGGUUUGUCACGUCGUCUGUGAAAUCCUAGGGCUUAACCCUGGACGUGCAGGCGAUACGGGCUGACUUGAGUACUACAGGGGAGACUGGAAUUUCUGGUGUAGCGGUGGAAUGCACAGAUAUCAGGAAGAGCACCGAUGGCGAAGGCAGGUCUCUGGGUAGUAACUGACGCUGAGGAGCGAAAGCAUGGGUAGCGAACAGGAUUAGAUACCCUGGUAGUCCAUGCCGUAAACGGUGGGCGCUA
RNAcentral lists this ribosomal RNA (550 nucleotides) under uncultured Actinomycetes bacterium. RNAcentral's name for it is "bacterial SSU rRNA". It matches the Rfam family "Bacterial small subunit ribosomal RNA", at positions 255 to 818 of the family's 1533-position model. The record is from RNAcentral. Lineage: Bacteria; Bacillati; Actinomycetota; Actinomycetes.